Long non-coding RNA from Thunnus maccoyii (southern bluefin tuna), 535 nucleotides. RefSeq lists it as uncharacterized. The transcript has 2 exons. The record is from RefSeq and is a predicted model, not a curated record. NCBI's taxonomy places the organism in Eukaryota, Metazoa, Chordata, Actinopteri, Scombriformes, Scombridae.
AGGAGAUAUCACGUUGGUACUGCUGGAUCUAGUCGUGGGCGGUAUGCUGCCGAGGAACAUGGAUCACGGAACCAGGUGGGAGAUUUGGCAGCUCUACCAGGCGGUCAUCAGGAUAUCCUCUUCAGAGAGCCAAGGCCUGAGAACACAUCUGUGGGCCAUUAUAUACCACGUGGUUGGUUGUGUAUGUGUGUGUGUGUGUGUGUGUGUGACUGUAAGACUUCCCCCUAACUACCAGUAAGACAAGUUUGAAACAAAGCUAACAGUAUUCUCCAUCUCUUGCUCUCAUUACACCUCUUUAUAAAUGUACUUUGUGUUAGAUUAUAGCAACAUGUAAGAGGAAAUCAUUUAUAACACAGGGCGAGGAAUUUCCCACAACAGCUUAACUUUCUGUUGUAAAUGUCAUAAAGCUGCUAUUCAGCAAAGCCUUCUGACUUUAAUUCAAAACUCAUGGGAUCAUCAGUCAAACAAUCUAUCGUUAUGUAAGUGUAGCAUUUAAACAUGUACAAAUAAUAAAUGCAUUGUUUUUGAUUCAUUA